RNAcentral lists this long non-coding RNA (265 nucleotides) under Elaeis guineensis (African oil palm). RNAcentral describes it as "long non-coding RNA (EGUI_LNC079668)". Lineage: Eukaryota; Viridiplantae; Streptophyta; Magnoliopsida; Arecales; Arecaceae. The record is from RNAcentral.
GGCCAGGGUAGUCCUAGUGAGGAGUCACAGGACUGUUUGAAUUGAGCACGAUUCGGAUGAUCUAAUCAGGGUUGACAGUUUAACCCUGAGUCAUCCUAUACACAGGGGUCAAAAGAGAUGAAUUAUACAGUAACCAUAUUCACGUAGGUUCUGAGUGUUGCGAUUGUGACUAUUCGACCUAUCCAGAUAUCGGGUACCAUUGCUAGAUGGUCACUUCGAUUAGUACAGGAAUUGGUUCCUGUGCUACCGGUUUAGGUUCGAACCU